UACUCCUACGGGAGGCAGCAGUGGGGAAUUUUCGGCAAUGGGGGAAACCCUGACCGAGCAACGCCGCGUGAACGACGAAGUACUUCGGUAUGUAAAGUUCUUUUAAGAGGGAAGAAUGGCUGGCGGAAAAGCCAGAUUGACGGUACCUUUUGAAUAAGCCCCGGCUAACUAUGUGCCAGCAGCCGCGGUAAUA
RNAcentral lists this ribosomal RNA (193 nucleotides) under uncultured Desulfomicrobium sp. RNAcentral's name for it is "partial 16S ribosomal RNA". It matches the Rfam family "Bacterial small subunit ribosomal RNA", at positions 334 to 525 of the family's 1533-position model. Lineage: Bacteria; Pseudomonadati; Thermodesulfobacteriota; Desulfovibrionia; Desulfovibrionales; Desulfomicrobiaceae. The record is from RNAcentral.